RNAcentral lists this ribosomal RNA (492 nucleotides) under uncultured bacterium. RNAcentral's name for it is "bacterial SSU rRNA". It matches the Rfam family "Bacterial small subunit ribosomal RNA", at positions 30 to 515 of the family's 1533-position model. The record is from RNAcentral.
AUUGAACGCUGGCGGCAGGCCUAACACAUGCAAGUCGAGCGGUAGAGAGGUGCUUGCAUCUCUUGAGAGCGGCGGACGGGUGAGUAAUGCCUAGGAAUCUGCCUAGUGGUGGGGGAUAACGUUCGGAAACGGACGCUAAUACCGCAUACGUCCUACGGGAGAAAGCGGGGGGAUCUUCGGACCUCGCGCCAUUAGAUGAGCCUAGGUCGGAUUAGCUAGUUGGUGAGGUAAUGGCUCACCAAGGCGACGAUCCGUAACUGGUCUGAGAGGAUGAUCAGUCACACUGGAACUGAGACACGGUCCAGACUCCUACGGGAGGCAGCAGUGGGGAAUAUUGGACAAUGGGCGAAAGCCUGAUCCAGCCAUGCCGCGUGUGUGAAGAAGGUCUUCGGAUUGUAAAGCACUUUAAGUUGGGAGGAAGGGUAGUAACCUAAUACGUUGCUACUUUGACGUUACCGACAGAAUAAGCACGGCUAACUUCGUGCCAGCACG